UUGGAAAGAGCAAACCAUGAUCUGGGGUAA
RNAcentral lists this non-coding RNA (30 nucleotides) under Mus musculus (house mouse). The record is from RNAcentral. RNAcentral also lists the same sequence under 1 other name. Lineage: Eukaryota; Metazoa; Chordata; Mammalia; Rodentia; Muridae.